This 74-nucleotide transfer RNA is filed under the name Caudoviricetes sp. Its description in RNAcentral is "tRNA-Met". It matches the Rfam family "tRNA". From Rfam's summary of the family: Transfer RNA (tRNA) molecules are approximately 80 nucleotides in length. Their secondary structure includes four short double-helical elements and three loops (D, anti-codon, and T loops). The record is from RNAcentral. Lineage: Duplodnaviria; Heunggongvirae; Uroviricota; Caudoviricetes.
CGCGUGGUAGAGCAGUUCGGUAGCUCGGUGGUCUCAUAAGCCGCAGGUCGCCGGUUCAAGUCCGGCCCACGCAA